Molecule: transfer RNA, 72 nt
Filed under: Chloroflexota bacterium
Lineage: Bacteria; Bacillati; Chloroflexota
Also listed under: 3 other names
Description: tRNA-Asn
Rfam family: tRNA
About the family: Transfer RNA (tRNA) molecules are approximately 80 nucleotides in length. Their secondary structure includes four short double-helical elements and three loops (D, anti-codon, and T loops). Further hydrogen bonds mediate the characteristic L-shaped molecular structure. tRNAs have two regions of fundamental functional importance: the anti-codon, which is responsible for specific mRNA codon recognition, and the 3' end, to which the tRNAs corresponding amino acid is attached (by aminoacyl-tRNA synthetases). tRNAs cope with the degeneracy of the genetic code in two manners: having more than one tRNA (with a specific anti-codon) for a particular amino acid; and 'wobble' base-pairing, i.e. permitting non-standard base-pairing at the 3rd anti-codon position.
Source: RNAcentral
UCCUCGAUAGCUCAAUGGUAGAGCGACCGGCUGUUAACCGGUAGGUUCCAGGUUCGAGUCCUGGUCGGGGAG